This is a long non-coding RNA of Homo sapiens (human), 1673 nucleotides long. The record is from Ensembl. NCBI's taxonomy places the organism in Eukaryota, Metazoa, Chordata, Mammalia, Primates, Hominidae.
AUUGCAAACGUCAGCUCUGAAAUAAAAAGCAGGAUAUUUCUGCCCCGCUCCUCUAUUCCGGAAGCUGGGAGGUUCUGUGGGAGAAAGGACCUGCACCCAAUAACUCAAUUUAAGAUUUAAGGUUUUGAGGGGCGUGGGGUUGGAAUCGCCUUGGAGAAACGGGUUUGCCUGCUUACCUGAGCCAAAGGAAGUUGCCCUCAAAGGCAGAAGAAAUUAAAUCAUUUUUGGGAAGCCCUCAAGGUACCAUAAGCUCUGGGCAGUGUGCCUAAGACUUCUAAUGGAGAAUUUAGCCCUGUGCAGAUGAUAUUGCAGAGGAGGAAUGCUUAGUUAAUUUAGUUCCAGGAUACCUGUGCAGGACAUGACAUGCAGGUUUGUCAUGUAGGUAAACAUGUGCCAUGGUGGUUUGCUGCACCUGUCGACCCAUCACCUAGAAGGAAAAAAUUGGACACGGAGAUAAGGACAGAGGAAAGAUGAUGUGAAGACAGGGGCAGAAGUCAGCCAUCUACAAGUCAAAGGGAGACAUGUGGAACAGAUUCACCCUCACAGCCCUCAGAUGGAAGCAACACCACUAACACUUUGCUCUUGGACUUCUAGCUUCCAGAACUGAGAGACAAUAUCUUUCUGUUGCUUAAGUCAUUCUGUCUGUGAUACUGUGUUUAUGGCAGCCCUGGCAAACUAAUACAGUCCCACAAAGAUUUGGUUGUUGCUUUGCAAGAGAAUGUAUAAUUCCUGGUUAUUUCUACAAAUAAGGGCAUUGACUUUAUAAAGCUACAAGUAUACCCCAGUAUUCUGUUUCUGGUUUUUGUUUACUUUCAUAUAUGCUAUCUUUUCAUUCCCAGGUGAAAUCAUAGUGCAUUUUAAAUGAUAUUUUAAAGAGCAAUUAUACUCGUCAUAUGUACUUCAAAUAAUACUGAUUCCUCAAUUGAAGUAAUGGUAACAUGAGUGUAUUAGUUAAUUUUUUCUGAAUAACUAGUUACCUCCAAAGUUCAUGCCUUCAAGCAACACAUAUUCAUUAUUUCACAGCUUCUUUGGGUCAGGAGUCUUGGCAUAGCUUAGCUGAGUCCUCUGGCUCCUGGCGUCCCAGGCUGUAAUCAAGGUGGUGGCCAGGACUGUAGUCAUGUCAGGGCUCGCCAGGGAAGGAUCUGCCUCCAAGCUAACCAGUGUGGCUUUUGGCAGAAUAUAUUUCUAUGCAGGUUGUUGGACUGAGUUUCUUGCUGGCUGUUCCAGAGGUUCCCUUAGCAUCUUGUCGUGUGGCCUCUUCAUAGGUCAAUUCAUAUUGGCUUCAUCAAAGUGAGCAGGUAAGAUAGCAAAAGAGAAUGCCCAAGAUAGAAGCCAUAGUCUUUUUGUAAUCUAAUCUUAGAAGUGACAGCCUGUUAUAUUUGCUAUAUUCUCUUUGUUAGAAACAAGUUUCUAGGGCUGGGCAUGGUGGCUCACAUCUGUAAUCCCAGCAUUUUGGGAGGCCGAGACAGGCAGAUCACCUGAGGUCAGGAGUUCGAGACCAGCCUGGCCAACAUGGCGAAAUCCUGUCUCUACUAAAAAUACAAAGCCGAGUGUGGUGGCGCAGGCCUGUAAUCCCAGCUACUUGGGAGGCUAAGGCAGGAGAAGCACUUGAACCUGGGUGGUGGAGGUUGCAGUGAGCCAAGAUUGUGCCACUGCACUCCAGCCUGGGUGAC